GAUGAGGAAGUAUCAGCUAAAACCCCCUUAGCAGUCAGAAGCAAGAAAUAAAGACAUCCUUACUCUGGAUAGAGAGAUGGAGCUGGCAAGGACUUUGAAAUCCAACAUACUCUUGGGGGAAGGUGUGCAAUAUCUCCUUGGUCAGACUGCUUUAAUGUUUAAGGGAAGAUACACCCUCACCCCCUGCUAAGAGGUAUGAGUAUAGAGGGUUUUGGAGGAGAUGUUAGAUGAAAUGGUUAUAUAAGUUUCCUUUUGAAGAGGGAAAAUAACAAAGGCUAUUUUUACUUUUUGGAGCACAUUUUUACAAAGAAAGAUCUGGAUGUUAUUUUUCUUCAGUCAUGGUACUUAUGAUCAGCCAUGAUCCUGGAUUGGCCCUUGGAUCAGGAAAAAAAAAAAAAAACCUGCUUACCUAGUACAAUAUUGGGACACCUGGCAAAAUAUGAACAUAGACUAAUUCCAGGUGACGUUAGCUGAAGAGCCAGUGUUAUAAACUCACUGGUGUUGAGGGCUUAGUAAUGCCUAUGUGACAGAAUGUCUUUCCAUUCUUAGAAGAAUUUAGGGAUGAAGAGUCCUGGUGUUUGCAUCUUGCUCUAAAAUGGUUCAGGGGCUGGAUGUGGUGGCUCACACCUGUAAUCCCAGCACUUUGGGAGGCCGAAGGGUGGGCGGGGGGGAAUCACUUGAGGUCAGGAGUUCAAGACCAGCCUGGCCAACAUGGUGAAACCCCAUCUCUACUAAAAAUACAAAAAAAUUAGCCGGCUGUGGUGGUGCACACCUGUAGUCCCAGCUACUCCAGAGGCCGAGGCAGGAGAAUCGCUUGAAUCCAGGUGGCAGAGGUUGCAGUGAGCUGAGAUCAUGCCACUGCACUCCAGCCUGGGCAACAGAGCGAGACUCCAUCUCAAAAUAAAAAAUAAAUAAGUAAGUAAAUAAAUAAAUAAAUAAAAUGGUUCAGCAAAAUAAUAGUAACAAUGACAGCAAUAAUGAUGAUGAUGACAGAGCAAAUGUGGCAUAAUGUUACAAAGUGGUGAAUCUAGAUGAAAGGUUUAUGGGAAGUCCUGUACCAGUUUCCAGACUUUCUCAUUGGCUUAAAAUGUUUUUCAAAAUUAAAAAUUAAAAAAAAAAAAGACAACUUGAAAAGCAAAAUAAUGACAUGACAACUGGCCCCUACCCUUCAGGUCCAUAAUUCCAGCACCUAGACCAAGACAAUACUUACUUCAUAUUGAUCUCCAGGACAGAGGCGUGCAAAGCCAGCCAGACCUGUAACCAAGAAAUUGGAAGACCAUGUGGAACUCAAGGCCAGGGAGCAGUCAUCAGAAUGCAGUCAAGUGCCUGGCCAAUAGCAGGCACUCAGUAAGUACUUGCUCUAUUAUCUUUAAUGUCACUACCCCAAAAGGUUGUUUUCUAGUGUUGGGGUUGGGGCAAAAAGGGAAGUGAGGAAGGGUGUGGCACGAGGAAGUUAGUGGUUGCCAGGUCUGAGAGUAUUGUGAAAUAGUCUGUUUGUCAAUAUGUAUGUUGGAAGUAGUUUUUACCAGAAUGAGUAACAGAUGAGAAAGCAGCUAAUUGCAAAGACAAUAGGAUUUCUUGGCAGCAUGAGGUUUCCCUUUCUCUUUAUGGAGGAAGAGAAAGAUUUCCAUGGGGGUGUUUACCAUUGAAAGCCUUCACAGAUGUAGUUUCUGAGUUUGCCUGUUAGAUGAGGAAAGUGGAGGAGACAGGAGUCUAUCAAUGAGGAAGGAGAUUUAGUCUCAGGCCUGAGAAACCCCAUGGAAGAAACCAAGCGUUCAGGUGGACUCUCAGGAACAUCAGGCAGGAGAGCAAGAACAACAGAGAGAGGAGGAGAUGGAGGAGCAGGAGCAACAGCAAGUUCAUCAGUCCAUCAGGGCUGCGAUGUAGCGGGGUGGCCAGGUCCCCCAGUAGGUGGCAGGGACUCCAGCAUCAUCUCCUCCCUGAACACCAAGCCUGAAGCUCCAGAUCUGGUCCGAGGGUGGUCCCUUUCCUCCCCAUCCCACUCCUAGGGUGUCUCUGUGCUAGGUUGGAGAGGAUCUGCCCGUGAGGGAGACCAUUCUUUGAGCAAUGGUUUAUAUUGUCUGCUCAGCUCUGAACUUCCCUCAUAACAUGGAGUUAGAGGUGGGAAUGCAUUAGGAACAAAGAACCCUGGAAUUCAGUUUCUUGUCUGACUCCAAUUUAAGUGUGACUCCUGGGACAAGUCAUUUAGCCUCUCUAGGCCCCUAUUUCCCAUCUGUAAAAUCAGGAAAUUACCAUCCCACCAAAAAUAGAUGCACUUGAUAAUACUGAGCAUCAGAAAUAGGAGAAAUAUAGUACUUUUUUAUAUUAGCAGUGAUAGGUGAUGUGCAUGAUUUGAAUUACUGUUAGGCUGCGAGACUCUGCGACUGUGCUAGUCUGUGUGGGUGGCGUCUGAGAGUUGGGGGAAGUAGAGGGAAGGUUUUCUGCUAAACACUGAUUCAGGGCAGUUAUUUUCCAGAAUUGAUCAGGCUGCUGAUAGAAUCAUCCUCAAAGUUAAAAUAAAAAUUCCAGGGCCCACGUGGGACUAUGGACCUGCGUGAUUUUGGAACCACUGACUCAAGUGAGGACCCAAAAAUGUAGAGAAUGGACCUAAAAAAUGGAAAAAAGCACAGAUGCCAGACUCAGUAGCAAAGCAAGUGUUGAAACUUAACACUGAAUACUAAACUGAUUCCCUACCGGAUCUGCCGGAAGAGAAGCAUGCAGCCAUUUGGGAAGCUGAGGGUCAAGGUCAUUUAUAUUCCAGGUAUUCUCAGACAGGCUCUUACAUGUCAGUGCCUAGUGCUUGACAGAAUAAUUUCCCUCCUGAGUUAGAUGAUUCAUUGGAAAAUGAAGCCCUCCUGUCGAGCCCUUUCAAAAAAAAGUCUCCUUUCUUUACUCCCUUAAUUGCAGAAAGUAGAAAGAAGGUGAUUAAAUCCCCAUUAGCAACCCAGGGAUCAAGCUGCUAAGAAACCUCAGAAUUGCAUAAGCACCAGCCCUCUUCACUGCAGUCAGAUGGGCCAAAACUUGGAAGAGAAAUUGACUUGCUGUGAUGGCCGCUCAUUUGACAGCCAUGCCUGGCCACUGAGCCGUAAAUCUGACAACACCUGAGCAAUGCUCUAUUUUCUAAAACCAGACUUCGUUUUUGUUCUGAAGAUGCUGUGGUUUAACUCAAUAAUGUGUCUAGUUUGGAACUUUCUGGAAUAAAUACCAGAAAGGCACUGGGAGGGGAAAAAUUCUCUGUGGGUUUAACACCAAGAUUUACAAAAUUUCAUAGUUAGUUUGCUAGAAACAUGAGGAGCUAAAGGAAGAAUUUAAAGAUCACCCCAAAGAAGCCAACAGACAAGCUAGAAUGUGGGACAUUCUGUACAAUGGUUUCUACAGCAAGUCAAGGGUAGAAAAAAAGGUAGGGAGAGGUUUGUUUUAGAUUAAAGGAAAUCUAAAAGAUAUACCUAACAACCAAUUGUAAUGCAUGGACCUUGUUGGGAUCCUAAUUUGAACUAAUCAAAUGUACAAGGCAUUUUUGAGACAACGGGGGAAAUCUGAUAAUGGAAUGGGUUAAUAACCAGGGUUUAUUAUUUUUGUUAGCUGUGAAAACGUGACAGUACUUGGCAUCGUGGUUAUGUAAGAUGACAGCCCCAUGCUUUAAGAGAUGCAUACUGAAGUGUAUAGCAGCAGACUGACAUAUCUGGGUUUUAUUUCAUCAAAGGACUUCUCUUUUAUCAAAGGAAAAACAAAAGCAAAGAGAUGGAGCAAAUGUGGCAAAAUCUUGCUAAUUAUUACAUCUAGGUGAUGGGUUUAUGGGGGCUCAUUAUAAUGUUCUCUCCACUUCUGUGUAUGUUUGAGAUUCUGUCAUAAUAUUUUUGUGUGUGUAGGUAAGCCUCAGGAUGAGAAGCAUCAGUAAACUAUCAAAAGUGGGGUGGGUUGAGAGUGGGUGGCGCUGCGUCUUUGCAAGGAAAAUAAAAAUAGCAUGGGCUCUCAAACUUCAAGGAGCUCUGCACUCUGCAGAGAUGGCUCCUUAUUCUCUCUAAACAAGGAAAAUAAUACCUUUCAUCUUGAUGGAGAAUUCUCCCAGCAGAUUCUCUAGCUCCACUUCAAUGGUGCACAUAUUCUGCAAAGAGGACAGGAGACGAUCAUGAGAGCUAGCCUUUCACCCAACAGCUCAAAGCACACGACGUUCGAACAGCAGCACAACCACUGCGUGAACAACGAGAAGCAUUUACCUGUUUGCUCCACACAGCACAGCCUAAGAAACAUUCUUGACAAAAUGUUUGAUCUGAGUCUAAGCCCACCUUUUAGUGUACAGGAAAUUUAGGGCAUAGAUGAGCAAGUCAGAUUAUAUCAAAAAUAGACACAUUCAGAAUGUGGGGUAGUCUAUAGGAAUUAGCAUGAAUUCUACAAAAAGGCAGUAUCAUAGGGGAAAAAAUUUCUACAUAAAGAGACUAGACAAACAUAAUCACCAAAUGUAACAACUUAACCUUGAUAAUAUCCUGAUUUGAAAGUAAAUAAAUCAAAACAUUUAUAAAAGACAUUAUUGAUCCAAAUAGGGAAAACUUGAAAAUGGACAAUAUGUUAUAUAAUUCUAUGGGAUGAUUGUCAAUUUUCUUGGUUGUAGUAAUGGUAUGUGGUUAUGUAGGAAAUGUAGAUAUUCCAUAGGUUACUAUUAAGAGAUCCCUGGCUUGAUUUAGCCAUUGUAUUACAUAUUUCUGUGCAUACACACUUCAAAACAUCAAGUUGUAUACCAUAAAUAUGUAGUUUUUAUUUGCCAAUUACAAAUAAAUUUUAAAAAGAGAUCCAGGUUAAAAUACAUAUAGGGUGAAAUGUCAUGAUGUCUAUCACUUACUGUCAAAUGACUUGAGGGGGAUUUGAUCAUAUGAGAGAGAGGGAAAGCAAAUAUGGCCAAAUAUUACCAAUUGGUAAAUCUAGAUAAAGGCAUAUGGUGUUCAAUGUACAAGUCUUUCAAUUUUUCUAUAGGUUUGAAAUUUUUCUUAAAAAUUUGGGGCCAAAAGAGCACAAGGGCUGAAUUCUGCUCAAGUGAGUAAGGCAGACUUCCUACUGCAAACCUACAGCGCCCCAAAAAUUAUUUUUGGGUCUGACAAGGGUCUUCUCUUUGAUGUUGAAGGAAAAGGAUAGAGAGAAGGAGUAACACCAUCUGUGCAUGUGGUUAGAUACAUAACUAGCCUCACCCUACUUCCUCAAUACCUGAGGACCUAAAUAGAACAAUUGCAGUUAGAAAUGAAAAGGGAAAGUGCUGCGGCCAUGGGCCAUCCCCAGGGAGGCCCUUCUGCUGCUUGACCAGCUUACAAUCUGGAUGCUGCCUCUGCUAUGCUAAGCAGCAGUCUCCAUUGAAGCUUGAUGCAGGGUGAUGUCUGCAGGCUUCUCCCUCAGUUGCCAGCCUCCCACAAGGCUAGGGGUUCGAGGGUGGCCUCACUGACAAAAGCAUGGCCAGCUUGAUUAGUGCAGGCUGGUAUUGCUUCCAUUUGAAUUCUGUAUGCUGAGGACCUCAGCCUAGAGGUUCUGAUUCUUCUAUGUUUCGUUGUUCUGCUCCAAAUGAUCACUCUCAUGGGAUGCAAAGAGAAUGGCAUUGCUUUUUCCCUUGUAAAUUCUCACUACCUGAACUAGCUAGCAAGGCUGGGGAAAACUUCCUGAAGUCUGAGCUCUGCGUAGCUUGAAAGCCUUGAAAACAAAGCCUCAGUAUUAUAAACCAAUUUAUUUCCUCAGAGUAUUGGGCACUUCUGUGAAGAAACAGUUUCCAGACAUAUCAACUAUGCUAUCAUGCAUGUCAGGAUUGCUACCAGUAUCUCUGAAAAACGUGAGAGCAGCUAGGUUAAGACUUGAGGACAUCCAUGGUCAAAAUUUUCCUCCCCCGACCACUGGCACCCCCCCACCACCCACAGCCACUGAUGAACAUUGCUGCACACGAAAAAGCACCUGAGCCUACCUUGACCUCAUUGUUAAAUCCUCAUUUUAAACCAUCAUCAUAAUAACAUGCUGGCUUUUGUGGUUAUGUGAGGAUGUAUUUCUUUCUUGCUUU
Molecule: long non-coding RNA, 6028 nt
Filed under: Homo sapiens (human)
Lineage: Eukaryota; Metazoa; Chordata; Mammalia; Primates; Hominidae
Description: HSALNT0102690
Source: RNAcentral